UGCAGUGGAGCGACGAACCAGGGCUUGCCCUGGGGCAGAGCCGCGAACGGGUGAGUAACACGUGGGUAACGUGCCCCGAUGACUGGGACAACCCGGGGAAACCCGGGCUAAUACCGGAUAUGCCCCCUCACAUCAGUGAGGUGUGUAAAGGAAGCUUCGGCCUCCGCAUCGGGAUCGGCCCGCGGCCCAUUAGCUUGUUGGUGGGGUAAUGGCUCACCAAGGCUUCUAUGGGUAGCUGGUCUGAGAGGACGAUCAGCCACACUGGGACUGAGACACGGCCCAGACUCCUACGGGAGGCAGCAGUGGGGAAUCUUGCGCAAUGCGCGAAAGCGUGACGCAGCAACGCCGCGUGGGGGAAGACGGCCUUCGGGUUGUAAACCCCUUUCAGUUGGGACGAAGGUCGGGCGGUUAACAGCCGUUCCGGCUGACGGUACCUUCACAAGAAGCCCCGGCUAACUACGUGCCAGCAGCCGCGGUAAUACGUAGGGGGCAAGCGUUGUCCGGAAUCAUUGGGCGUAAAGAGCGUGUAGGCGGCUCGAUAAGUCCGCUGUGAAAGUCAAGGGCUCAACCCUUGAAUGCCGGCGGAUACUGUCGGGCUAGAGUCCGGAAGAGGCGAGUGGAAUUCCUGGUGUAGCGGUGAAAUGCGCAGAUAUCAGGAGGAACACCUACGGCG
Molecule: ribosomal RNA, 673 nt
Filed under: uncultured bacterium
Lineage: Bacteria
Description: bacterial SSU rRNA
Rfam family: Bacterial small subunit ribosomal RNA
Source: RNAcentral